CCACGACUGCCCACCUCGGGCGGGCGAGCUGCCCUCCGCCCGGCCCGCCGUCCUGGGAGACCUCGGGCUGCAUUGCAGGCGCGGCCUCAGAAGUCGCCUCCACGGGCGCCAGGUGCAGCACGGUGGUGCUCAUUAGGCCUCGGAAGGCGGGCCAGGCUCACAGUGCAGCCUUCUGAGAAUCCCCGGAGAAGAAAGGAAUCAAAGGCCGGGGAUUGGGAAACAAGGAUGAGGAGAUAAUGAAACAAGAUUCCUAUCUGAAUAAUUUCCUUUAAUUGCUGAGGGACACGGCAGGCUCACCCAGUGUCUCCUUCGUGCACCCGCUGGGUUCUGCUGGGAGAGGCCUGAUGACCCGCUUCCCCUCACCUUUCCCACUCGUGGCUGCAAAUUCUGGCCAGGGAGGCCAAGGCCAGCGUGAGAGAGAGCCUUCCCGGGACUCCUGACCAGGGUGUAUAAAGAUAAAAGCCUGCUCUGUCAUGGUGAGAAGGGACAGAAGCACACAGAUGAGCCCUCCCCGGUGAAAGCCAUGUGCAUGCUUAUUUUUGGUGUUUUAUGGGCCUCCUCAAAAGAUGAGAGAUGGAAAACAGAACUAUACCCACCCUGAGCUCUGUGGCCUGAAGAGUGGAUGGAAGGAACCAACCUAUUUUACAGAUAGGCAUCUGGAUGUGUAUUUAUGGCUUUCCAAACGAUGCUGUCUCGAAGAAAAACUAUCCACAGCGACGACUCUACGGAGAGGGCUGAGCCAGAGCGAAGUUCAAGGCUUUCUCAUGGUCUCCCAGGGACGCCUGGGACUCGAGUUUCUGAAGCAGACAUUGACCAAUGGGCUAUGGUUUGGGUCCUACACAGCAGCCUGCAUGCAGGAAGACCAUGCUCACUGGGGCCUCGACAGCACCCAGAGUGCCAGGAGUGAAGCAAAGCAUUGUAGCUGUGCACACUGACAGGGCAGGGGUGAGGAUAGGCCAUUGUUCCUCCUCCUUCUUCAUCUCCCCUUCCCUCCCUCCUGACUUCUCUCCUACCUUUCCUCUCUCUCUCUCUCUCUCUCUCUCUCUCUCUCUCUCUCUCUCUCUCUGUUUCUCUCUGUCUCUCUGUCUCUGUCUCUGUCUCUGUCUCUCUCUCUCUCUCUCGUUCUUCCCUCCCUCCUUCUCCCCUUGUUCUUUGUGAGCCAGGGUCUCAUGCAGUUCAGGCUGGCUUCAAAUUCACCAUGUGACCGAGGAUGACCUUGAACUCCUAAUGCAUCAUCUGCUUACACCUCCAGAAUGUGGGGUUACAGGAAUGUCCAGCUCAUCAGUGCUGGGGCAGAACUCCAGGCUUCCUGGAACUAGGCAAGUUCUCUGCCUACUGGGCCCCACCUCCAGCCUCCCUCCUUUAGACAGAGUCUUGCUAUGUAGACCAGGCUGGCCUUGAACUCACUGUCCUUCCAACCUCUGCCUCCGAAGGAUGAUUGGCAGGUAUGAACCCUAUCUCUUAUGUCUUAGCUCUGUCUCUUACAGGCUGUGUGACAGCCCAGGAGUGGCUUUUCUACACAGGCAGGCAUAUAGUAGACAUUUGCAAACUACCGAACCUUUCUAAGUCUCUGUUUCCUCGUCCAAAAGUGAGCAAUAGCCGGGCAUUGGUGGCGCAUGCCUUUAAUCCCAGCACUCGGGGAGGCAGAGACAGGCGGAUCUCUGUAAGUUUGAGGCCAGCAUGGUCUCCAGAGCAGGUGCCAGGAUAGGCUCCAAAGCUACACAGAGAAACCCUGUCUUGAAAAACCAAAAAAAAAAAAAAAAAAAAAAAAAAAAAAAAAAAAAAAAAAAAAGCAAAAGUGAGCAAUAACUAACUGGCCAGGAGUCCUGAGGCAUACAAG
This 1840-nucleotide long non-coding RNA is filed under the name Cricetulus griseus (Chinese hamster). RNAcentral's name for it is "lncRNA (ENSCGRG00015037301.1)". The record is from RNAcentral. Lineage: Eukaryota; Metazoa; Chordata; Mammalia; Rodentia; Cricetidae.